This 420-nucleotide ribosomal RNA is filed under the name uncultured bacterium. Its description in RNAcentral is "bacterial SSU rRNA". It matches the Rfam family "Bacterial small subunit ribosomal RNA", at positions 28 to 443 of the family's 1533-position model. The record is from RNAcentral.
AGUGAACGCUGGCGGCAGGCCUAAUACAUGCAAGUCGAACGGCAGCACAGCAGAGCUUGCUCUGUGGGUGGCGAGUGGCGGACGGGUGAGGGAUACGUGGGAAUCUGCCCAGUCGUGGGGGGAUAACGUAGGGAAACUUACGCUAAUACCGCAUGCGCCCUUCGGGGGAAAGCCGGGGACCUUCGGGCCUGGCGCGAUUGGAUGAGCCCACGUCGGAUUAGCUAGUUGGCGGGGUAAAGGCCCACCAAGGCGACGAUCCGUAGCUGGUCUGAGAGGAUGAUCAGCCACACUGGAACUGAGACACGGUCCAGACUCCUACGGGAGGCAGCAGUAGGGAAUAUUGGACAAUGGGCGCAAGCCUGAUCCAGCCAUGCCGCGUGAGUGAAGAAGGCCCUCGGGUUGUAAAGCUCUUUUGUCCGG